GGCCUCAGUAUGCUUAUCAAGGCCUUGGCUGAGCUGUGCUCGCUCCAGAGCUCCAACCUCACAACACUGCAGCUCUCUGUCCAUGAAGAGUUCCUUUCAAUCCUUUUGUCACUUUGCUAAGGCCAUCUUUUGAAACUUGACUCUGGUCGUCCUGGUUCGUUUGUACCACUUAGAAUAACAUGCACUAGAGUUGAAUGUCUCAAACUUAGGGCAUCAGAAUCACCGGGGAUCUUGACAGACUGUGGGUCUUAGCAGGUCUGGGUUGGUGCCCAGGGUUCUGAAUAUUUAGCAAACUCUCAGGUGAUACUUUAGGGUAGGAAAUACUCUGGCAAAUUCCUUAAACUCAGAGCCUUCUCUGAAGCUGGAUUCCUCUGAGAAUUAAGUGGGAGAAUGUUUGUAAGGGAGUGUUUUAAAAGCCGUUGUUUCCUGCGUUCCCUGACCGUCUCCACUCCCCAGUGGUGCACCUUCCCUGUCUGUGCUUACCCAUCGCUAGCAGGGCUCCUGGCAUCUCCUAGGGCCUUAAUGUUUGUUUAGUGGUGAGGGAAUGACCCGUGGAGGAAUUAACUGGGUUUUUGUGUUACUCAGAUGAACAUAAAAUUAAGACUGCCACUUUUGUUUUUUCCUUCUUUAGGAAUGCUUUAAGAUGACCAUUAAAUCUAAGCCCUAAGUGACAGACCCAGGUGUUGGACUCUGAGCUCAUUUCUGUAUACUUCGUCCUGUGGCCGUUAACUGUAGGCUCUAUUGCCAGAAGUCAACACUCAUUGACCAUUUUCAAGUACAACUUUGUAGACUAUUUCCAGUAGUUUUUUGUUGAAAACCAUUUCUUGUAGCAAGUGUCAAAUGGUAAUUCUUGUGAACUAUUUGAAAGUAUUGAUACUGCGUUUGGUUUAAGGAGAAAUUAGAAGUGAUCAGAACAGUGGUUCUCAAAACUUGUGGGAUUUGCUCUCACCUGGAGAACUUUUUAAAAGGAGGAUUCCCUUCUGUUGAUUUGCUGUCCUUUGGUACUCCAAACUAGAACCUGAUUGGAUGGCCAAGAAGUCAGGCCUGUGCAUCUUGUUAAAGUGAAGACCUUAACACCAGCGGCAGGCAGCAGCUGUGCUGUUUCGCUGUAGAUAAUUUGAGGAGGCCCCUAAGGCUGGGCAUUAAUCUGCUCAGUGCUUCUCCCACACAGGUAAGGCAAGCUUUGAAUAGGUACCAGAAACCAUUGUUUCCUGUCCUUGAGCAUUUGCUUUUGAAGGAAGGGUUUUAAUUGCUGAUUCUGCAAGUGUUCUGUGUAUAUUUAGUAUAAAAGUAAAAAAACUUAGUCGUUGUUUUAUUAAGUUUGUGAAAACAAAACACCAAAUUUGAACCAACAUACAACAUAUAGCAAAAAGUACACGAAAACAUCUUUGAAAGAAAGAAACAGAUAGGUUUCUAGACCAGUCCCAGACUGCCCGUGGCUGAGCUUUCUCCGUCUUAACUUGGGUUGGCUGUAAACUUGAAGGAUGGGUUGGAUCAAUGUUCGCACAGGCCUCACUGUUUUUCCUAGCCAGGUGUCUACUGUUAUUUAAUGUUUGUCUUUAGACUGCUUCCAGUUUUUGUUUUUUUGUUGCUGUUUUAUUACCAACAAAGCUGCAAGGAAUGUCUUUGUGCAUUUAUCUUCACGUACUUGUGUUUCCUUAGGAUAAAUUUUAAGAGGUAGAAUUACUGUGUCAAAGUGAUGUAAGGGUAGAUAGAUAGUACCAAUUUGCCUCCAAAAUAUUGUAGUUAUCUACUCCAACCAGUGUUGAGAGGAAACUCCUAUUUCGGGAACUGUCUCAUAAUUGUCAUUUUAUUAGCAUUUACCCCAGCCCCUAACUUGCUAACAGUGUUGCACAUAGUCAUUAACUUUUUAGAAAUAUUAAUGUGAAUUAAGUGGUUUUAAACUGGAUAAUUUCCACUUUCUACUUCUUAAAAUUCUACAGUCAAGAUGUACAGGAUUGUUCCAGCUUAUCAGUACAGAACUGAAAUCAUUCAAGUUCACACACUCCCACCCAGCCUUGUGCUACUAAUUUGUGAAUGGAAAGAUACUCCUCCUUCAACACACUAUACCACCAGGUGCCAGAAACUUGUGAACUAUAAAUCAAUGACUAGGCAAUGACUGCCCCCAUGCCAGGUUUGUGCAAAGAACUCGCAUAAUUGUAAGCACAGCCCUGCGCUGCUUCUGUGGUUCUUAAUUAUGGUCUACUAUCAUUGGAAAAUACAAAGUAGUAAUCCUAAAAUGAUAAUUAACAUUUAUUGAGCACUUAUGUGUCAGGUACUAUUGACUUUCAGUCUAACUACCCUUUCUAACAAACACUACUAUGCUGACUUUACCCAAGAGGAAACUGAUGCACAGAGAGGUCAAGGAAUCUUGUCAGUGCCAUUCAAAUCAUUCAGAAUGCCUCUAAUGCCAGUACUGUAUUCUGAAAAGUGCAAGCUACUCUAUGUUGAAACUUUUUUUUGUGUGUGUGUGAGGAAGAGUGACCCUAAGCUAACAUCUGUGCCAAUCCUCCUCUACUUAGUAUAUGGGAUGCUGCCUCAGCUUGGCUUGAUGAACAGUGUGUAGGUUCAUGCCUGGGAUCUGAACCUGCAAACCCCGGGGCUGCCAGAGUGGAGUGUGUGAAUUUAACCACUAGGCCAGCUCCUGGAACAUUUCUUAAUAGCAUAAUAAAGAUAAUUGGAACCUUGUGGAAACAUGUGGUGGGUAUAUGGAUAUUCAUCCUAUUAUUUUCUUUAUGUGCUUGAAAAGAUCUUAUUUAAGUCUUAUUUUUUAAAGUAAUAACAUGCUAUUUUUAACUCUGAGUUCUUUAUCUCUGAAAACUAAGUUAAAGCUUGACAACAUUCUUGGUCAACCAGCAUUUGGGGACCCCACUCUGGGCCAGGAGAACUCAAGGAAGCAGAAGCUGCCGCAGCUGCAGCCCUCAGGGAGUUCACGAGGUGGGGCUCAAAGCUCAGCUCCUGAUGCAGGAGGUCCUGUUCUCGGAGUCCUUUCUUGCUUGAGGAAGGGGGAAUGUGGGGAUGCACCAAGCGGGGAUCCCCAUAGGAGAUAAGCAGUACGGAAAUGAUGAAGACAAAAGUGCAAAGUGGAAUUUGAGUUUAUGGGGGAGAAAUCUCUCUCCCUUGCUCUCUUAACCACAAGAUACCACACAGUGAAGAAAACAAGAAACAGUAGCAGAGAAAUGCCCAUUGGCAGAUUAACAGAGUUGACGAGCAAAGAGUGAUGGAUUCCAGGGCAGAAGUCAGUGGAGAGCAGCUGGUGUAACCUUGGACACCAUCCUAGAGGAAGUCUUGGUAACAGCCACAUUUUCAAAGAGAUCAUGAGGAGUGCAUGAUUUUGUUAGCCUUGUGGUUUCACCAGCGUGAUCACCAGGCCUUUUCUGGGAAAGAACACAGUGGGAAGUGGAAACUGUAAAUGGACACGCUCCUUGGGAGUCCUCAGUCCCCCACACAGGCCCCCCUGUCAGCCCCUGACUAGUCUUCACACUUCAGGCUAGGAAAUCACCCCACGGUUUUGAAGGUAUUGAGGUCUCGUCCCCAUUUUAUAGCAGAACGAGAAUCAGAGCAGGAUUAUGACAGAAUUCUAACUCCAGCUUCCACCUGUUUAAUAUAUCAGAGAAACGUGAUGUUGGUGAAAUGCCAGAUUGGAAACCAAAGGCUUGUGGGUGGCCCAGCAGCACCACAGCCAGAAGGAGACUCCAAACUGGGCUAGAAGAGAGAAACAAUUGGUAAGGCCAAGGAGACCAUAGUCGGAGUCGGGUCUGAGGACGAAGAGAGUCCCCACAUGGGAAAAAAGUCCUGGGGUCAGAAUGGAAAUGAGUGGACAAGAAACAAAGUGGGAGGAGGUGAGAGCAAGCAAUUUUGGCGAGGUGCCGCGAGCAGCAUCUCCUGGGCCUCCUUCCCACACGGAUAGUACACGCGCCUCAGAACUCACAGCGCCCACGAUCCUACCACUCAGAGAGUCCAGCCAGGACACCACUUCCCGUGUAAUCAUCUUGUCUCUUGAGGCUCCUCUCCGCUGUCACCGUUUCUCAAAUUUUCCUUGUUUUUUGAAGACCUUGACAGUUUUGAGGCAUACUGGUCAGACAUUUGUAAAAUCUCCCUCAAAUUAGGAUUGUCUGGUGGCUUCCUCUCGGUUAGAUUGGAGUUGUGGGUUUUGGACAGCGUCCCUCGGAGGUGAGGUGCCCUUCUCAUCGCGUCGAGGUGGAUGGCGGUGCAAGACCUCCCUGGGGAAGUUGACCUCCAUCACUGGGUAGUGCAGUUUGCAGCGUCCUCCCCUAUCAAGCUGGAAUCCAUUUUCCAGGCUCAGGACUGUUAGGUGUGGCCAUGUGACUGUAUUCUGGCCAACGGCAUGUGAGCAGAGUAGCAGGCACGACUUCUAGGUCCCUGAAGACCUCCCAAGCACAAUCCUCACUCUCUGCCAUCGGUUCUCCUGCUGAAGGGAGAGGACUUUAAGGAGAAAAAAAGGAUGGAGCCACAAGGCAGAAAAGGCCUGGGCCCCUGAGUGAUUAUGUGGAGCAGGGCCCCUUCCCCACCUUUCCUACCUCCUUCUCCUCCCCCUCUUUCCUUCCUCUCUCUCUUCUUUCCUACUUCUUCCUUUCUCUUUUCCUUCCUCUCCUCAGUCCUUCCACCAACUCACAAUGGACUGUAAACGAGAAAUAAGCUCUUGUUAUGUUAAACUACUGGCCUUUUGGGUUUAUUUAUUACAACAGCUGGAGUUAUUUGCUUAUCUAACACACAAUGGAGUGUACCUUAGGGGGUAUUUCCCAAACUGAGAUGUCCUACUCCUUUGAGAAACUUUCUCCUGCACAAAUGGGAGUGGGCCUGAACUGUGAAGAAUUAACCUCACCCAAACAGAAGUCUGGUCUUUGCUCUCAGCUACUGGGAGGUGAUCUCCAGGCGUGGAAUGUCCCAUCUGAUGUGAGCGUCCUUGUUUUCCUGGGGUUUUAGCUACUGGACCGUCUAACAGUGUGAUUUAUGAUGAGGGCUUUGGGCCACACGGUAUCAGUUCUGACCUCUGGACUGAAUGGAGACAAAAGAUAUGAGCCCAGCCUCUGGAAGCCAUGGAGACUAAAGGUCAGCCGCACUGGCAGCAUGUCAUGGAGCCCCAGUAAAAACUGGGAGAAGGUUGCCCAUCCACGACUUCACAGGUCACGACCAGAAGCCCCAUAUUUGAACCUCCCUGGACUCUGCCCUACGUGUGUCUUCCCUUGGCUGGUUCCAGUUUGUAGCCAUUCUCUGUAAUAAAACUCACCUGGGAGUGUAUUAGUUUUCAGUGAGUUCUGUGAGUCUUUCUAUUAUUAUUAUUAGCCUUAGGGUGGUUUUGGGAAACUCUGGACUUGCGGUUGCUGUCAGCAGUGAGGACAGUCUUGUGGGGACUCACGGUCUGGGGGACCCUAGGCCAAGCUCUACCGUUAAAUUUAGACUUUGUGACCCUCCGCCUUGGCCAUGGCUUAUUGGACCAGCGGUAGGUGAACACCUGACCCAACAUACGCCAAUCAGAUUCUUUCUUCUGGAAAUUUCGACUAAGAUCUAGUUAGUUUCUGUUAGGUGCUUGAACCAGAAUGUUAGGUAAAUUAAAAUGUAUCUGGUGACUCUCUUCAGUAAGAGCGCAGAGAGGCAGAAGAAGGUAUGGAAAUACAGAGAAAUUAAACAGAGGAGAGACCACAUGGCUCCAGAGAGAUGCAGAGAGAGCAUGAUGGACCAAGUAGCUGUCUUGAUUCCUGACAUCUUUCCAGUUCCUGGUUCCAGUCCCUCCUGAGAUGUUUCCUCGCGGUCUUCAGGCACUUGGUGUUGAAGAGGAGAAGCAUGACGAUGUUUGAUUCCUUUUCUCUGAGCACAGGAGAUGCUGAUCGCGUCGGCAUGGAGACAGCUGAGUGAGAGACACUGGAGCAGAGCAGAGCCCGCUGGGCAGAGCACUGGCCAAGCCUCCUCCACAAUGCAACUGAUAGAGUCUCCGUUUGAAGGAUCCCUCAGAAAUUACAGGUUUAGAAAAUAUCGUUGCUUUUACAAAUAAUCAGAAAGGCACUGAUUUCAGAAGCCACCAUACAUCUCAGCCAGAUGUGCAUGGUCUAAGAACAGAACACACGGGAGAAAAUCAGCGUUGGACUACACAAGAAGACAAACUAAAACAGAAAACACAACUUAGCCGUUUGCAGCUAAGGGUUUCACUGCUUCUAUAAUGAAGAGGAGAUGCAAAUAAAUAUCAGAACCUUGCGCAUAUCAUUUAUGGUUUGUUGCCUAUAGACAUGCUCGUGCUGACCGCAUAGGGGAGCUGUUUUAUCCUGUGGGUUUCAGCCACUUGGUUAGUGGUUUUUCUCUCUUCAUGACGUCUUGCCCUAAGGAAGCACUCCCGUUCCAGCUAAACAUGUGGAUCUGGUGGAACCCACCGGGGACAUUUAAAAUUCCAGCGGCCAAAUGGCUUAUUUACAAAGGGCUUGAGGAGGCUUACAUGAAUGAUAUAAUAAAAUAAAAUAGAAAAAC
Molecule: long non-coding RNA, 6480 nt
Filed under: Equus asinus (donkey)
Lineage: Eukaryota; Metazoa; Chordata; Mammalia; Perissodactyla; Equidae
Description: lncRNA (ENSEASG00005027346.1)
Source: RNAcentral